Molecule: non-coding RNA, 180 nt
Organism: Thermoactinomyces sp. DSM 45891
Lineage: Bacteria; Bacillati; Bacillota; Bacilli; Caryophanales; Thermoactinomycetaceae
Source: Rfam
GAAUCCCUGAGAUGUUCGUGUGUAAACCGUAAUUUUGAGCCAACAUUUUUACUGCGGGAGCUUGUGUCAGUGUUUGGAAAGGAAGCCAUCAUCUAGGUGGAACCUUGAGACUCACUGCAGAGCACCCACCUGCUAGAGAGCAGGUUCAAAAUUGCGGUGCCACGGCAUAAUGGGGCUUUU